UGUCAUCCGAAAGGAAGGGAACCCGGUGAACUGAAACAUCUAAGUAGCCGGAGGAAAAGGAAUCAACAGAGAUACCCUCAGUAGCGGCGAGCGAACGGGGCAGAGCCCAAACCAGAGCGGGAAACCGCUGUGGGGUUGCGGACUGCUAACAAAUGGUUGGACGAAGCAGAACCAGUUGGGAAACUGGGCCAGAGACGGUGAGAGCCCGGUA
This 211-nucleotide ribosomal RNA is filed under the name Megasphaera stantonii. RNAcentral describes it as "partial 23S ribosomal RNA". It matches the Rfam family "Bacterial large subunit ribosomal RNA", at positions 146 to 377 of the family's 2925-position model. The record is from RNAcentral. Lineage: Bacteria; Bacillati; Bacillota; Negativicutes; Veillonellales; Veillonellaceae.